Molecule: ribosomal RNA, 506 nt
Filed under: Ustilago sp. DMKU-SP308
Lineage: Eukaryota; Fungi; Basidiomycota; Ustilaginomycetes; Ustilaginales; Ustilaginaceae
Description: LSU rRNA
Rfam family: Eukaryotic large subunit ribosomal RNA
Source: RNAcentral
UUUCCGCUUCGGACCAUGCCUAAGUCCCUUGGAAAAGGGCAUCAUAGAGGGUGAUAAUCCCGUACAUGGCAUGGAGCGCCCGUAGCUUUGUGAUACGCUUUCUAAGAGUCGAGUUGUUUGGGAAUGCAUCUCAAAAUGGGUGGUAAAUGCCAUCUAAGGCUAAAUAUUGGGGAGAGACCGAUAGCGAACAAGUACAGUGAUGGAAAGAUGAAAAGAACUUUGAAAAGAGAGUUAAACAGUACGUGAAAUUGCCAAAAGGGAAGGGUAGGAGGUCAGAGAUGCGUCUUGGGAUUCAGCCUUGCUUUUGCAUGGUGUUUUUCCCAAGUUGCAGGCCAACGUCGGUUUUGGGCACUGGAGAAGGGUAGGAGGAACGUGGCACCUCUCGGGGUGUGUUAUAGCCUCCUACUGGAUACAGCGACCGAGACCGAGGAACGCAGCGUACUCGUAAGAGCGGGCCUUUUGGCACCUUUACGCUUAGGGCGUUGGCAUAAUGGCCCUCUACCACC